This 607-nucleotide ribosomal RNA is filed under the name Salmonella enterica. Its description in RNAcentral is "partial 23S ribosomal RNA". It matches the Rfam family "Bacterial large subunit ribosomal RNA", at positions 2202 to 2808 of the family's 2925-position model. Lineage: Bacteria; Pseudomonadati; Pseudomonadota; Gammaproteobacteria; Enterobacterales; Enterobacteriaceae. The record is from RNAcentral.
ACCCUUUAAUGUUUGAUGUUCUAACGUGGACCCGUGAUCCGGGUUGCGGACAGUGUCUGGUGGGUAGUUUGACUGGGGCGGUCUCCUCCUAAAGAGUAACGGAGGAGCACGAAGGUUGGCUAAUCCUGGUCGGACAUCAGGAGGUUAGUGCAAUGGCAUAAGCCAGCUUGACUGCGAGCGUGACGGCGCGAGCAGGUGCGAAAGCAGGUCAUAGUGAUCCGGUGGUUCUGAAUGGAAGGGCCAUCGCUCAACGGAUAAAAGGUACUCCGGGGAUAACAGGCUGAUACCGCCCAAGAGUUCAUAUCGACGGCGGUGUUUGGCACCUCGAUGUCGGCUCAUCACAUCCUGGGGCUGAAGUAGGUCCCAAGGGUAUGGCUGUUCGCCAUUUAAAGUGGUACGCGAGCUGGGUUUAGAACGUCGUGAGACAGUUCGGUCCCUAUCUGCCGUGGGCGCUGGAGAACUGAGGGGGGCUGCUCCUAGUACGAGAGGACCGGAGUGGACGCAUCACUGGUGUUCGGGUUGUCAUGCCAAUGGCACUGCCCGGUAGCUAAAUGCGGAAGAGAUAAGUGCUGAAAGCAUCUAAGCACGAAACUUGCCCCGAGAUGAG